RNAcentral lists this ribosomal RNA (628 nucleotides) under Hirsutella thompsonii. Its description in RNAcentral is "eukaryotic LSU rRNA". The stretch from base 243 to 396 matches the Rfam family "5.8S ribosomal RNA". The record is from RNAcentral. Lineage: Eukaryota; Fungi; Ascomycota; Sordariomycetes; Hypocreales; Ophiocordycipitaceae.
CUUGGUCAUUUAGAGGAAGUAAAAGUCGUAACAAGGUCUCCGUUGGUGAACCAGCGGAGGGAUCAUUACAGAGUUUACAACUCCCAAACCCACUGUGAACCUUACAGCGUCGUUGCCUCGGCGGACCGCCCCCGGCGCGGCCCCUCUCAGGGGACGCCCGGGACCACGGCGCCCGCCGGAGGACCCAAACUCUUGUAUUUGCAGGAUGCAUUGCUCUGAGUGAAAACAAGCAAAUGAAUCAAAACUUUCAACAACGGAUCUCUUGGUUCUGGCAUCGAUGAAGAACGCAGCGAAAUGCGAUAAGUAAUGUGAAUUGCAGAAUUCAGUGAAUCAUCGAAUCUUUGAACGCACAUUGCGCCCGCCAGUACUCUGGCGGGCAUGCCUGUCCGAGCGUCAUUUCAGCCCUCGCGCCGUCCCUCCAGGGGGCUCGGCGCGGUGUUGGGGGACACGGCCCCGGCCGCCCCCGAAAUGCAGUGGCGACCCCGCCGCGGCCCCUCCAGCGCAGUAAGCACGCUCGCUACGGGAGGCCCGGUGGACGCGUCCGCCGUAAAACGCCCAACUCCUCAGAAGUUGACCUCGGAUCAGGUAGGGAUACCCGCUGAACUUAAGCAUAUCAAUAAGCGGAGGA